Molecule: ribosomal RNA, 275 nt
Filed under: uncultured bacterium
Lineage: Bacteria
Description: partial 16S ribosomal RNA
Rfam family: Bacterial small subunit ribosomal RNA
Source: RNAcentral
GCGUGAGUGAUGAAGGCCUUAGGGUUGUAAAGCUCUUUUACCAGGGAUGAUAAUGACAGUACCUGGAGAAUAAGCUCCGGCUAACUCCGUGCCAGCAGCCGCGGUAAUACGGAGGGAGCUAGCGUUGUUCGGAAUUACUGGGCGUAAAGCGCACGUAGGCGGCGAUUCAAGUCGGGGGUGAAAUCCCGGGGCUCAACCCCGGAACUGCCUCCGAAACUAGAUUGCUAGAAUCCUGGAGAGGUUAGUGGAAUUCCGAGUGUAGAGGUGAAAUUCGU